UACGUAGGGACCAAGCGUUGUUCGGAUUUACUGGGCGUAAAGGGCGCGUAGGCGGCUUAACAAGUCACUUGUGAAAUCUCCGGGCUUAACUCGGAACGGCCAAGUGAAACUGUCAAGCUAGAGUGCAGAAGGGGCAAUCGGAAUUCUUGGUGUAGCGGUGAAAUGCGUAGAUAUCAAGAGGAACACCUGAGGUGAAGACGGGUUGCUGGGCUGACACUGACGCUGAGACGCGAAAGCGUGGGGAGCAAACAGG
This 253-nucleotide ribosomal RNA is filed under the name uncultured bacterium. Its description in RNAcentral is "partial 16S ribosomal RNA". It matches the Rfam family "Bacterial small subunit ribosomal RNA", at positions 524 to 776 of the family's 1533-position model. The record is from RNAcentral.